AUAAGCAGGGUUUUUAUGUUGAUUUUCUGUGAAACAUUCUCCUCAGGUGUGUAGUUCUCUUUUUACCAUUUUUUUAAUGCAUUUUUUACAUGCUGGUUUUCACUAAGUGUCCGCAAUCUCUUAUUUCUCAUAAAUGCAUAUACCAAGUGUAAAAAACAAACUGCAUUAUAUAUAUAUCAAUAAAUAAAUAUAUAAAUAAUUAAUAGUGGCACUGUGGCGCUCUCCAGGAGUUAAUUUCAUUAACAUUUAGACUGAUUCACAUGACAGGAAAACAGUCAGUUUGGUAUCAAAGGGUUACGGCUCUUACAAAACAAGUAUUGACUUCAUUUUGGGCUGUCCGACAGAGACUUGAGAACAGUUGGAGGCAGAAUCAUCUGCAGAAAACGACAAGUAUUGUUUAGAUGAAGAUAACCACAAACAUCCGGAAAUACUUAACUGUGUCUAAACUCUUAGUGACUCAUGUUUACAUUAGUUUUUACUUUAAUGCAGUUUUCUCUUUUUCUUGUUCUUUUUAAUCUUCAAAUUGAACAUUAUUUUUUAACACAGCCAUAGAGUGGAAAAGAAGUUUACAUGUAGGUUACAAGAUGGCCAGCCUGAUUAUUUCAAGACACUGAUGGGAAUUGGUGGCUUCAAUGCAAAUUCAGCCGAAUGAGUUCUCUAGUCACAGGGGAUGUGACGCAGAACAGACCAGCACUGAACUGCUUCUUGAAUAGCUCCAACCCCACCUUGCAACUGGGGCAAACCACUUCAACAAGCAACACGGCCUGUGUCUGCAGGAUUGUAAAUAGUAAGUGCAGAAUUAUGACAACUUCUGGAUUACCAUCUGGCUCCUUUUCACCCUCAGCUAUUGAUCAAGACCUUUCCCAAUGAGCUAUUAUCUAAGUAUUUUAACCAUCCAAAGAUAACUCAGAAAAUCAGUAGAAUGUAAUAUCCUAAAACUUUGUAUUUAUUUUUGAGGUACUGCAUGUUGCCAGCACACUUCUAUCAUGUCACAUUAUGUUACACAGACUUACAGUGAAAAGAAAUUUAACGGGAAGUGACAUGGUGUAAGUGAUGCACUGACAUGUAUAAUUUAAAGACUAUACUUUUAUUGGAAGCAGACACCUGUAAUUAAUUCAGAUAUUGGGAAUUCAAAAUGAAACUGAUGAUUAAAGCCAGAAGGGACUUAAGAUGCAUAUUAAGCUCAUGAACUGGUGAUUUUCUCUGUUUAUCCAGCAGAAUAGCAUGUUACAGUUGCUAAAUUUGUUCUGAGAACUCAUUUGGUGACUAUCAUUACUGCUGCUUUGAUAAGAUAUUAUUGGUACAUAAAAUACACAAAAAUUCAAGUUUCUUCUGUUUCUGUCCUAUCCAUAAAUGCAGAGCUUGAUUAGAAAGUGUUUUAAAAAGGAAGAUAUCUUUGUUUCCUGUUCUCUUAAUAUUUUUACUAAAUCGGUAUCUGAACUGGUGGUUCAUUUCAUCUGGGAAACUUUGGUUACUUUCUAUGCUGCUACUUUGGUGGGUUUACUGGAUGUCGAGAAGUCUGUGCAGAGAUCCUGCUUGACAGAAUUGACCACAAAUCAUAACUUUGUAUGAGAAAUUUUGCAAACAUACGAUGUAACAUCUUAUAGAUAGAUACCCGUUGAAAGACAGUUUUAAUGUAACAAAACACAGUGACCUUGAAAUGUGCCUACCUAUCCUUUGGUUUGGUUUUUCUUCCCUUAUUAUUAUUAUUUUUUUUAAA
Long non-coding RNA from Oxyura jamaicensis (ruddy duck), 1720 nucleotides. RefSeq lists it as uncharacterized. The transcript has 2 exons. NCBI's taxonomy places the organism in Eukaryota, Metazoa, Chordata, Aves, Anseriformes, Anatidae. The record is from RefSeq and is a predicted model, not a curated record.